GAUGAACGCUAGCGGCAGGCCUAACACAUGCAAGUCGAGGGGCAGCGGGAGUAGCAAUACUUGCCGGCGACCGGCGCACGGGUGCGUAACGCGUAUGGAACCUGCCCCCCGCUGGGGGAUAGCCCGUCGAAAGGCGGAUUAAUACCCCAUGGCCUCCCGGGACCGCAUGGUCCUGGGGGUAAAGCUUCGGCGGCGGGGGAUGGCCAUGCGUGCCAUUAGCUGGUUGGCGGGGUAACGGCCCACCAAGGCGACGAUGGCUAGGGGGUCUGAGAGGAUGGUCCCCCACACUGGUACUGAGACACGGACCAGACUCCUACGGGAGGCAGCAGUGAGGAAUAUUGGUCAAUGGGCGGAAGCCUGAACCAGCCAUGCCGCGUGCAGGAUGACGGCCCUACGGGUUGUAAACUGCUUUUGCACGGGAAGAAUAACCCCCUCGCGAGGGGGGAUGCCGGUACCGUGCGAAUAAGGAUCGGCUAACUCCGUGCCAGCAGCCGCGGUAAUACGGAGGAUCCGAGCGUUAUCCGGAUUUACUGGGUUUAAAGGGUGCGUAGGCGGGCGCCUAAGUCAGCGGUGAAAGGCAGCGGCUCAACCGUUGAACUGCCGUUGAAACUGGGCGCCUUGGAUUCGGUCGGGGCCGGCGGAAUGCGUGGUGUAGCGGUGAAAUGCUUAGAUAUCACGCGGAACGCCGAUCGCGAAGGCAGCUGGCCAGGCCGAGAUCGACGCUGAGGCACGAAAGCGUGGGGAUCAAACA
Molecule: ribosomal RNA, 751 nt
Filed under: uncultured bacterium
Lineage: Bacteria
Description: bacterial SSU rRNA
Rfam family: Bacterial small subunit ribosomal RNA
Source: RNAcentral